Molecule: long non-coding RNA, 717 nt
Filed under: Daphnia pulicaria
Lineage: Eukaryota; Metazoa; Arthropoda; Branchiopoda; Diplostraca; Daphniidae
Description: uncharacterized LOC124314936, transcript variant X1
Source: RNAcentral
UCGACUGCUUCAUUCACGUCACGCAUCACGCGUGGAUUUCGUUGAUUGACAUGACGUUAGUGCAGGUUUGCGUUAGUGCUAGUCCGUCGUUCUUGUCUUUUCUUUAACGUAUAUACGAUUAUACGUUAGUUAGUCAUUACAGGGUACACUUUUUCCUGACAUUUUUCGUCAUAAGGUAACAUAGCGUACAAUUUAUACUUUGCAAUUCCAUCUGACCAUGUGGCCUGGAAGGCUGUAACUGCUGUACAAUUUUCCAAAAUGUCGUCUCUUGCUGCAUUCACCGGCUUUACGUUUCCUUUUAUGCAGAAAUACUUUAGAACAGUAAAAGCAGCCUGGUGAAGUCUGAGCUUCUUCAUUGCAGUCCAAUAUGCACAUGGAUUUGUUGCAGUUAGCUGGCGAAAGGUGUUCCUCUUGCGGUUGCAGGCUUGCUACCUGUACCAGUUGUAACUUUCAUCACAUGCAGAAAAAGAACAAUUUAAAGUAAUUAUGUUGGUAAACUUUUUUAAAGUAAGGCUACACAUUUACUUUGUUGAUGACUAGCUCUUGGACUUUAGUUUUGUUGACUUUUCAGUUAAGACUCUUUUCAUAAGCUUGCCAACUGUUGAUUUCUUUGUUACAUUCAUAAAAGUAAUUAUGUUGGAUUGCUUGGUUGAAUGAUAUUUGAUUAUUUUUUAUUUUUAUACAGCAUUUCCAUUGAUACAAAAGAUGAAUUUCAUU